CCCUUAGACGUUCUGGGCCGCACGCGCGCUACACUGACCAGUGCAACAAGCAUCCGUCCUUGGCCGACAGGCUCGGGCAAUCUUUGAACGCUGGUCGUGAUGGGGAUAGACUUUUGCAAUUUUUGGUCUUCAACGAGGAAUUCCUAGUAAACGCAAGUCACCAACUUGCAUUGAUUACGUCCCUGCCCUUUGUACACACCGCCCGUCGCACCUACCGAUUGAAUGGUCCGGUGAAGCCUCCGGAUUGGCGCGCACCUCGGUGCCGCCGAGAAGUUGGCUAAACCUUACCAUUUAGAGGAAGGUGAAGUCGUAACA
Molecule: ribosomal RNA, 315 nt
Filed under: uncultured eukaryote
Lineage: Eukaryota
Description: partial 18S ribosomal RNA
Rfam family: Eukaryotic small subunit ribosomal RNA
Source: RNAcentral